AUUGGAUCAAACAGAACAUCACAGGGGACGCAGAAGCUGGACAGAUCCUGGGAAAGGAGAGUGAGCCUGCCUGUGUCCCUUUUGCUUUACAGUAAACAGUUCCCAGUUUCCAGUUUCACCUGCACUUUGAGGUCACACAGCCAUCUUCCUCCCCACCAACAUGUAUCAGAAUGAAGGGACAGAAGAAAAGAGACAGAGAUCCAGACUGAGGAUUGGUGGAGAGCCAGAAGCUCAGUUACCCGGACAAGAAAUGAAAAGCAGACUUCAUUGUUUCUUACUCUCUGGUGGGAGGAGAGGUGGAAAGAAGAAAUAAGGAAAGACCAAGGGUUGGAGAAGAAAAGAAAGCUGGAACAAUUUAAUUCAGAUAAAAUCUGAAAUGUCCAAGUAA
Long non-coding RNA from Neofelis nebulosa (Clouded leopard), 388 nucleotides. RefSeq lists it as uncharacterized. Lineage: Eukaryota; Metazoa; Chordata; Mammalia; Carnivora; Felidae. The transcript has 2 exons. The record is from RefSeq and is a predicted model, not a curated record.